Nothoprocta perdicaria is the source of this 752-nucleotide long non-coding RNA. RefSeq lists it as uncharacterized. The transcript has 7 exons. The record is from RefSeq and is a predicted model, not a curated record. NCBI's taxonomy places the organism in Eukaryota, Metazoa, Chordata, Aves, Tinamiformes, Tinamidae.
UGGCUGGCUGCAUGCAAAGAYAGCCUAGAGCAGUGCUUUACAGUCCUCUAGUUGCUUAGAAGAUUUUUCUAAGCAUAUUAUCAUAUUAUUUUCUUCAUUUUAUUAUCCUCCUGGAUUUAUAUGUUAACAAUAAGGCAACUGAACUGUGGGAUGGAAUGAAAGCUAUUUUCCUCAAGCAGCUCUGAAUAAAAAGUAGAAAAUUCCMAGUACUUGGGAGCACCAUACACUCCAGGCUCGUUUAGAACUACAGCAACAAUUUACAGCUGAGCUUGGGCAUCUCUCAGUGGAUUUUCCUGAAGACUAGACAGUGACACCUGUGGUAUAGAUAAUGGUGAACAGCAUAUUAUUCCAACAGUUCUGGGCAAUGCAGGAUUUAGCUCUGCAAAAGCCAUAUGAAUAGGAGCCAUUGGAAACUCAGGAGGCUCUCUUACAGUAGGAAGUGACUGUACCUUAGGACCUGAGAGGAAGCAGCCUUAUCCAAGAGAUAAGGGAUGGGAGAAGUUGCCCUUCCUGCAGCGACUAGGAAGAGGUUACUGUGCAGUCCAGACCAAUACAAAUGGCAGUGUCUUCCAGACACCUAUCAGAGACACGGGUUGUAGAUGGGAGAAGACAAAUAGCUGGCCUACAACUUGAUCAACUGGAUUGUCAGGAACUCAAGUGUUCUUGGAGCUGCAGUGCCUGAGAUGCAUCAUGGCAGGAGUGCUUGAAGACAGUGCAUCAUGUGAAUGGACAGAAAUCUUCCUUGAGGACUG